UACUUUACUUUGAUAAAAUCUUAAUUUAAAACUAAAUUAUGCAUGGUAGUUCUUCGUGAAUAUUAACCCAGCUAAAAAUAUUAAACAAUAAUGGAAAUAUUAAUUUAAUUAAAGUUUAAGUUAUGGGGCAUAUCAGGUGCCAGCAGCCGCGGUCACACCUAACCAUAAAAUUAAGAGCCUUAGGCUAAGCUUUAAUACUGAAUGGCCUUUAUUCAAGUAAAAUAGAUAAAGGUUAGAAUUUUAUAUUUAUUAAUUUAAAGCUAAAACUCAAUAUAUAAACUAGGAUUAGAUACCCUAUUAUAAAGAGUAAAAAGUACUACCUAAGCACUAAGACUAUAGAGUUAAAACUUAAAAAGUAUGGCGGCGGCUUUAAAUUUUAGGGGAACUUACCAGGUAAUAGACAACCCUCAAGAAACAGAACUUGGAUUAAGAGCUUGUAUACCGCCGUCUCCAGAAUGUAUUUAAGAUAUUUUCGAAAUUCUAAGCAGAAAAAAGACAGGCCAUGGUGCAGCCAAUAUUCAAGACUUUAAGGUGAGUUACAAUAUUAAAUUUUUAUCAGACUUUAAUUAAAAACUUAAAUGAAGGUGGACCUAAAAGUAAAAAAUAAAGAAGUACUUAUUGAAUAUUACAAAAAGUCGUGUACAAAUCGCCCGUCACUCUCGUUGAAAAAGGAGAUAAGUCGUAACAUAGUAGAGGUAACGGAAGUUGUUUCU
RNAcentral lists this non-coding RNA (713 nucleotides) under Plakobranchus ocellatus. The record is from RNAcentral. Lineage: Eukaryota; Metazoa; Mollusca; Gastropoda; Plakobranchidae.